GUUGUAUGGUUAAGUGACUAAGCGUACACGGUGGAUGCCUUGGCAGUCAGAGGCGAUGAAAGACGUAGUAACUUGCGAUAAGCCCAGAUUAGGUAGUAACAACCAUUUGAGUCUGGGAUUUCUGAAUGGGGAAACCCACGUGCAUAAGCACGUAUCCUUACCUGAAUACAUAGGGUAAGGAGGCGAACCGGGGGAACUGAAACAUCUAAGUACCCCGAGGAAAAGAAAUCAACCGAGAUUCCGAAAGUAGCGGCGAGCGAAAUUGGACUAGCCCUUAAGCUUUACACGCGUUAGACGAACGGUCUGGAAAGUCCGACGAUACAGGGUGAUAGUCCCGUAGUUGACGACGUGUGUUCAGUGAAAUCGAGUAGGGCGGGACACGUGAUAUCCUGUCUGAAUAUGGGGGGACCAUCCUCCAAGGCUAAAUACUACUGACUGACCGAUAGUGAACCAGUACCGUGAGGGAAAGGCGAAAAGAACCCCUGUGAGGGGAGUGAAAUAGAACCUGAAACCGUGUACGUACAAGCAGUAGGAGCAGGCUUUGUCCUGUGACUGCGUACCUUUUGUAUAAUGGGUCAGCGACUUAUAUUCAGUGGCAAGGUUAACCAUCUAGGGGAGCCGUAGGGAAACCGAGUCUUAACUGGGCGUUCAGUCUCUGGAUAUAGACCCGAAACCAGGUGAUCUAGCCAUGGGCAGGUUGAAGGUUGAGUAACAUCAACUGGAGGACCGAACCGACUAAUGUUGAAAAAUUAGCGGAUGACUUGUGGCUAGGGGUGAAAGGCCAAUCAAACCUGGAGAUAGCUGGUUCUCCCCGAAAGCUAUUUAGGUAGCGCCUCGGACGAAUACUACUGGGGGUAGAGCACUGUUAAGGCUAGGGGGUCAUCCCGACUUACCAACCCUUUGCAAACUCCGAAUACCAGUAAGUACUAUCCGGGAGACACACGGCGGGUGCUAACGUCCGUCGUGGAGAGGGAAACAACCCAGACCGCCAGCUAAGGUCCCAAAUUACUACUAAGUGGGAAACGAUGUGGGAAGGCUCAGACAGCCAGGAUGUUGGCUUAGAAGCAGCCAUCAUUUAAAGAAAGCGUAAUAGCUCACUGGUCGAGUCGGCCUGCGCGGAAGAUGUAACGGGGCUAAGUAGUAAACCGAAGCUGCGGCAAUAUACUUUUGUAUAUUGGGUAGGGGAGCGUUCUGUAAGCGGUUGAAGGUGUGUGGUAACGCAUGCUGGACGUAUCAGAAGUGCGAAUGCUGACAUGAGUAACGAUAAAGGGGGUGAAAAACCUCCUCGCCGGAAGACCAAGGGUUCCUGUCCAACGUUAAUCGGGGCAGGGUAAGUCGACCCCUAAGGCGAGGCCGAAAGGCGUAGUCGAUGGGAAACGGGUUAAUAUUCCCGUACUUCUUACAAUUGCGAUGGGGGGACGGAGAAGGCUAGGUGGGCCUGGCGACGGUUGUCCAGGUUCAAGUGCGUAGGCUUAAGAGUUAGGUAAAUCCGGCUCUUUCUAAGGCUGAGACACGACGUCGAGCAUCUACGGAUGUGAAGUCAUUGAUGCCAUGCUUCCAGGAAAAGCCUCUAAGCUUCAGAUUGUAAGGAAUCGUACCCCAAACCGACACAGGUGGUCGGGUAGAGAAUACCAAGGCGCUUGAGAGAACUCGGGUGAAGGAACUAGGCAAAAUGGUACCGUAACUUCGGGAGAAGGUACGCUCUUGAUGGUGAAGUCCCUCGCGGAUGGAGCUGACGAGAGUCGCAGAUACCAGGUGGCUGCAACUGUUUAUUAAAAACACAGCACUGUGCAAAAUCGUAAGAUGACGUAUACGGUGUGACGCCUGCCCGGUGCCGGAAGGUUAAUUGAUGGGGUUAGACUUCGGUCGAAGCUCUUGAUCGAAGCCCCGGUAAACGGCGGCCGUAACUAUAACGGUCCUAAGGUAGCGAAAUUCCUUGUCGGGUAAGUUCCGACCUGCACGAAUGGCGUAAUGAUGGCCACGCUGUCUCCACCCGAGACUCAGUGAAAUUGAAAUCGCUGUGAAGAUGCAGUGUACCCGCGGCUAGACGGAAAGACCCCGUGAACCUUUACUACAGCUUGGCACUGAACAUUGACCCUACAUGUGUAGGAUAGGUGGGAGGCUUUGAAGCACGUACGCCAGUAUGUGUGGAGCCGUCCUUGAAAUACCACCCUUGUAGUGUUGAUGUUCUAACGUCGACCCCUUAUCGGGGUUGCGGACAGUGCCUGGUGGGUAGUUUGACUGGGGCGGUCUCCUCCCAAAGAGUAACGGAGGAGCACGAAGGUGGGCUAAUCACGGUUGGACAUCGUGAGGUUAGUGCAAUGGCAUAAGCCCGCUUGACUGCGAGAAUGACAAUUCGAGCAGGUGCGAAAGCAGGUCAUAGUGAUCCGGUGGUUCUGAAUGGAAGGGCCAUCGCUCAACGGAUAAAAGGUACUCCGGGGAUAACAGGCUGAUACCGCCCAAGAGUUCAUAUCGACGGCGGUGUUUGGCACCUCGAUGUCGGCUCAUCACAUCCUGGGGCUGAAGUCGGUCCCAAGGGUAUGGCUGUUCGCCAUUUAAAGUGGUACGCGAGCUGGGUUUAGAACGUCGUGAGACAGUUCGGUCCCUAUCUGCCGUGGGCGUUGGAAGAUUGAAGGGGGCUGCUCCUAGUACGAGAGGACCGGAGUGGACGAACCUCUGGUGUUCGGGUUGUGUCGCCAGACGCAUUGCCCGGUAGCUAAGUUCGGAAUCGAUAACCGCUGAAAGCAUCUAAGCGGGAAGCGAGCCCUGAGAUGAGUCUUCCCUGAUACUUUAAGUAUCCUAAAGGGUUGUCGGAGACUACGACGUUGAUAGGUCAGGUGUGUAAGUGCUGUGAGGCAUUGAGCUAACUGAUACUAAUUGCCCGUGAGGCUUAACCAUACAACACCCAAGGGGUUU
This 2916-nucleotide ribosomal RNA is filed under the name Vibrio parahaemolyticus. RNAcentral's name for it is "bacterial LSU rRNA". It matches the Rfam family "Bacterial large subunit ribosomal RNA". Lineage: Bacteria; Pseudomonadati; Pseudomonadota; Gammaproteobacteria; Vibrionales; Vibrionaceae. The record is from RNAcentral.